AUUGAACGCUGGCGGAAUGCUUUACACAUGCAAGUCGAACGGCAGCACGGACUUCGGUCUGGUGGCGAGUGGCGAACGGGUGAGUAAUACAUCGGAACGUGCCCAAUCGUGGGGGAUAACGUAGCGAAAGCUACGCUAAUACCGCAUACGAUCUAAGGAUGAAAGCGGGGGAUCGCAAGACCUCGCGCGACUGGAGCGGCCGAUGGCAGAUUAGGUAGUUGGUGGGGUAAAGGCUCACCAAGCCGACGAUCUAUAGCUGGUCUGAGAGGAUGAUCAGCCACACUGGGACUGAGACACGGCCCAGACUCCUACGGGAGGCAGCAGUGGGGAAUUUUGGACAAUGGGCGCAAGCCUGAUCCAGCCAUUCCGCGUGCAGGACGAAGGCCUUCGGGUUGUAAACUGCUUUUGUACAGAACGAAAAGCUCUGGGUUAAUACCUCGGGGUCAUGACGGUACUGUAAGAAUAAGCACCGGCUAACUACGUG
RNAcentral lists this ribosomal RNA (484 nucleotides) under uncultured bacterium. RNAcentral describes it as "bacterial SSU rRNA". It matches the Rfam family "Bacterial small subunit ribosomal RNA", at positions 30 to 507 of the family's 1533-position model. The record is from RNAcentral.